CGUAGGGUGCGAGCGUUGUCCGGAAUUAUUGGGCGUAAAGGGCUCGUAGGCGGUCUGUUGCGUCAGGAGUGAAAACUCGGGGCUUAACCCCGAGCCUGCUUCUGAUACGGGCAGACUAGAGGUAUGCAGGGGAGAACGGAAUUCCUGGUGUAGCGGUGAAAUGCGCAGAUAUCAGGAGGAACACCGGUGGCGAAGGCGGUUCUCUGGGCAUUACCUGACGCUGAGGAGCGAAAGUGUGGGGGAGCGAACAGGAUUAGAUACCCUGGUAGUCCACACCGUAAACGUUGGGCGCUAGGUGUGGGACUCAUUCCACGAGUUCCGUGCCGCAGCUAACGCAUUAAGCGCCCCGCCUGGGGAGUACGGCCGCAAGGCUA
RNAcentral lists this ribosomal RNA (374 nucleotides) under uncultured organism. RNAcentral describes it as "bacterial SSU rRNA". It matches the Rfam family "Bacterial small subunit ribosomal RNA", at positions 526 to 896 of the family's 1533-position model. The record is from RNAcentral.